ACAUCAAGUAGGUUGGUUAAGCACAUGCAAGAAGCAUAAUCGUGGCUAAGCAGCCACUUACUAUAUUAGUGUUUCCCAGUUAAGAAUAUAAAUCUUGUUUUCUUGUAAUUUUUGUGGCUAAUCAUGUAUUUAACCAAAAAUAAAUAAUUUUAAUUCUUUAAACAAUAACUAAACUUGAAAAGAAAAGCCAAAAUUCAAAUAACAUGAAAUCCAGUUAACAAUAUCUUACAUAACCAUUGCAAAUUAAAUAAUACAAAAGACUAACCAAAUAUACAAAAGAAACCUGAAAACACAAUCACAUAUAUUUAAAGACAUAGUAAAACACACCAAACAUGUAAGACCAUCUCCUAUGUAUAUUUCUAUUUUUUAUUCUAAAAUAUAGUAUGAUAUUUCUCUAAUGUAUCACUUCAUUUCUUCCUCUAAAAUAGAAUUAGUAUAAAAAAUAAAGUAUAAAAUAUAAUUGUUCUAUAUAUAGAGUGAGAUUGGAAAAAAUAUUAUUCUAUAACCGAGUUUAGAAAAAAAAAAAAAUAGAGUGGAUUGGAAUGUUGGAGAUGCUCUAAAUUGUUUUGGUUUGUUGUUGUAGGAGGGAUUCUCCGACUAGUUAGUUAGUUGUUUUGCAAACGUUACAUUUGCGGAUGAGUUUUUUUUUUUGUCACUUUUGCGGAUGACUACAGAAGAAUCUCUAAAUAUUUAUGCAGAAUUAUAUGAGUUUGAUGGAUGUUAUAUAAUCAAUUAAUAAUAGAAAAAGAAGCAUCUAUAGUUCUACACUGUCCUUGAAAGUUACUAAUACUCUGACUUAAUACCAGUAUUAGAGUAUUUAUUGGAAGGAAACAACAAAAUAAACAACGUGAUCGUUUUCAAAUCAUAUGCCAUAAAACAUAAUGAUGGACCUUUUUCUCAUUAACAUAAUGGUUUAGCAAACAUUAAUGAACAACAAGUUUGACCCUUCGCGGAGAUCUCGUAAGUGGUGUCAUCAUUAUAUUUGGAUUAAAAACUAUGAAUAUAUUAGCAUGUGGCCACAUGUAACUACAACAUUUGAUGAAUUGUACAAUGCAUUAGAGACUAAGCUUAUAUUUUUGCGAUCACUUGCAAUAUUUAAUGGCAUGGGCAAAAUAUUCGUUAGAUCCGUUUCGACUCGGUAUUCGUUUUGAUUCGAUUCGAAAAAUCCGAAUAUCCGUAAAAUUUUGGAGCAAAGCAAAUAGGAAAACGUAGUAUUCGUAAAAAACGGAGCAAAUAACAAAUAUUGUUUUUCUAAAAGUCGGAUAUCCGCUUCGAUCCGUAAUUUUCGAUAUAUAAUAAAAAAAAAUAUAUAUAUAUAUAUAUAUAUGCAUAUCAUAAUAUAUAUUUUUACUUGUAUUUGUAAAUUCAGUUUUUUAUCCUUCGGACUUGUGUUUGUGACAUAAUUUAAUAGUUUUUAUUAGUGAAGUGAAAUUUAUUAUUAAAAAAAAAUUAAUAUCCCUUAAAAAUAAGAAGUUGGAAUCCUGCGACGAUUUCUUUUUCCCAAAUUUAUCUUUUUCUUCGUAGUUUUAUACACGAGCGCUUAGCUUUUUAGGGUUUUAAUAGGUGCAGAAGUAUCGAAGCGGAUAUUCGCAAAUAUCACACAAAAAUCCGAAUAUUCGAUAUUCCGAAUAUCCGGAAAUUUUCGGAUCAAAGCAAAUCACAAAAUCAAGUAUUCGAUUGAAACGAAUCGAAUACUGAAUAUUCCAAAUUUUCUGGAUAUCCGCUUCGUGCUCAGGCCUAAUAUUUAUAUGCAGUGUAGUGUGAAUACAUAUAUAAGUAUUAUUGAACAAUAAUUGUGUAGGCUGGUUUUUUCUUCUAUUAUUAUUGUUUUGUAAAUAGCGAUAAAUCCAAAGAACAAGUCUCGAAGCUCGAGAUUCCAUUGAACUUUGGAUUUAAAAUAUAGAGAUAGGAUAUUACUAGCGAUGGUUUUGAAAAUUAUUUAAAAUAUGUUUGGAAAGCAAAGCAUGUAUUUUGUGGAUCAAGUAUUGUAAACUAUCAAAGUUUGUCUAUAAAAUUAAUCCCGUAAAACUCGAAAGAAAAAUAUACUUCAGAAUUUCUAAAUCUCCAUCAAUUACCUCUUGAAUUGACAAGGCAAAAUCGUUAAAGAUUGAUUUUUGUCUUGAAUUCCCUUUUAUUUUAUAGAGAGAUUCUAAGUGUCUAGUGGGUGCAAUAGACCAGCAAACAUCAAGUAAAUGAAUCAAGAUAAAUAUGAAAAAUUGAGACUUCUCUUCUGUCCAAGACCAAUAGUCUUGGUCCAUGAAGCCAGUGAAAGAAGAGCCACAAUGACAAUUUAUCGGUGCGAGCGAGAAUCGAUUGCUCUAAUACUAUGAUCGAUUGCUUUGAGAGACUUAUUGAUCUAGUCGUAGAAGAUAUUUCGAGAGACUUAUUCUGUUUUAGUCUUAUACAAGUUAUUUUUUGAAGAUUUCUAAAAUGUCUAGUAUGUGCUUUUUUGAGUUUUAAAAGUCUAAGGAGAAUGAGAAAAAAUUACAUUAUGUUUUAUAAUGUUUAAAAACAUUUUUUGUAGUGAAAUAUGCGUUGUAAUAAAAACAUUAUAUAAUAUUCUGUAAAAUAUUGAAGAUACUGACUUUUAGUUUCUAAUCUAUGGAAAAUAACACUUACAAUACAUAAUUUUACAAAACCAUCAAAUGAAAUUUUAAAAAUUUGGGACCCUUAAAUAUUCAUAAUAUUAUAGAUCAUAAGGCAAAUGCAUUUUAGUUUUGUAAUAAGGCACUCAUUGUUAUCUUCGUGGCUAAUUAAGCUCUCUUCAUCAACAACUACAUGAAUGUGUUAUGUUGUCACAUUAGCUCGUCAAAGUUUUUUGUGUCAAAUGUUUUGGAGAAUAAACUCAAACCAAAUCUGCAUCCAAAGAACAAUCCUCGAAGCUCGAGAUUCCACUGAACUUCUGACAUCUUGGAUUAAAAUAUACUCCUAGUUUAGAGAUAAGCUUUUACUAGUGAUGAUUUUAUAAAUCGUUAUUACUACUAAUUUGUUUUUUUUUUCUUAUGAAUUUAUAUAAUAAAGACUACUCCGAGUAUUAUUAAAUAGAUUAAGUGGAAUCCACCAUGACAUCGCAUAACUCUUUUUGCAUUCUUGUACCUUGACACAUUUCACUUUACUUUGAUCUGAGAACUAUAAGAAAUUGAGAAGUUAAGUUUAAUGUUUGUCAUUCUCUGGAUGCUAUCGGUUAAUAUCGCCCGGUUGUUACUGCGUUCUCUAACUUCUUUAUUCAGUUUGAAGCAAUUUUCAAAAGUUGAGACUAACCACAGUUGCCUUGGUCCAGACUCCAGUGGUCAAUGAGAGAAAAGUGUAUGGUACCUGCAUUAGCUACCGGAGUUCGAAUUCUAAUAUGGUUUUUCCAGAUCUCAUGAUUAAUUUUUAGCCUAAAAAGCCUUUAAUAUCACAUGAGUUACAAAAAAAAAAAUUGAGACGGUCAAAAUUUGAAUUGUGAAAAGAGUAAUCUAGUCUCCCCAGAGACUCGUUUUCUGCAUCUAUGAUAGAAGAAUCUGGAAUAUACGGCUAACUUUGAUUCUCUUUAUGGAUUCUUGGCUAAUAAUUUUGUUGUUUACUCAAGAAGUACUCUAGAGUAUAUACACUUAUUCAAGAUCAUGCCAUACUCUUUUGUGUUUCUUUUCUUUUACAAUAGAUCUUGUUCUCUCAUUUGUAGUUCUUUUGGGACACCAACUAUCAUAUUAAACAAGUUUAUUGAGUGAAUCGACAAUAGCUUAAAGAAACUUGAUCUAGUAAAUUAAAGUCGACAUCUACAAGUAGAGUGAAUUCAAUAUUAGUUAAUCAGAUUAGGCGGGAAUAACCCAACAUUAAUACAAUUUUUUCAUACACAUGUAAAAACCAACACAUCAACAAAUCUUUUUUUUUUGUCAACAACUUAAAUUAAAGCUCAAAAGAGCCAUUCUUGGGGAAUGUUGUUUACAUAUGUGAUAUGAAGCGGUUCGGUACGAACUUGUCGAGCCAAUUUAUCCGCUUUUACAUUUGCGCUACGAGGAAUUAAAGAUAAAGAAAAGCUUGAAAAUUCUUCCCUGUCACUCUGAAAGUCCUCCAGAUACACUGUAAAUGCCGGCCAUUCGGUUGGAGAAGACACCAUCUUCACCAAAUCUGAACAGUCUGUAAAGAAAGCUACAUCUUGGUUGUCAGCACCAAUCAUACACUUCAUCGCCCAAAGAAGAGCUUCGACUUCUGUAUGUAGAGGAGAUAGACUUCUACGGAUGUUGGCAGCUCCCAUGGUUGGCAUCUCUCCAUUUGAUGAUGUACAAUACCAUCUUGUUCCUGAAAAAGUAUCGGUUCCUUUCCAUGAUCCAUCUAUGAAACAACGAUAUCCUGAAUAAUUAGGCUCCAAUGAAAUUUCCCUCACUCGGUUUCGAUUUUCAUUAUCUAAAAAACCAUGGUUAUCAGUAUGAAGCUCAGUUUGAGCUAGCUGCCACGAUUUCGCCUCUUUCUCCGCUAAACGUAAGACCUCUAAUGGAUCUUUAUCCACAUUAUCAAAGAUUUUUUCAUUCCUUGCUUUCCAAAUGUACCAAAUUAUCCAUGGAUAAGAAGAUGAAUCUACCUAUGAAGGUAUUCUCCAAAAUAGGUGGUCCAAGUUCUCGUAAAUAGAAGCCGUAGGAAAAAUCCCCGGAACCGAAGGAAUUUGAGAAAGAGCCCAAAUUUGUCUCGCUGGAUGGCAUUCAAAAAGUGUAUGGUUAAUUGUUUCCUCUAUAGCGCCACAAGUAAUACAUCCUGUAUCACAAUUUAUACCUCUCUUUCGCAGAUUCUCCGUAACCGGUAAACAACCUGAUAAAAUUUGCCACAAAAAAUGUCAUAGCUUUGGUGGACAUUGCACCUUCCAAGCAUAUGCUUUUAGAGGUUUUAUAUCUGGGCCAAAAAAUUUUGAACUGGCAUCCAAGUCCUCUAUCCGGGCCGUAUGGUAACCAGAUUUAACCAGCGCGACAUCUUCUGGAUCAAAGAGCUCCUUCAACAAAUCAAAUCAAAGUUUAUUUUUUAUUUAUUUUUUUUUUUUUUGGGGCAAAUCAAAUCAAAGUUAUAUUUUAUAUGAAAAUGGGAUUUCUUUUCAUAUUCUCCAUGGAAACCUCUCAAGCUCUCCCCAUAGCUCUUGGAGGAAGGAUCACAUAGCUUUUUUAGAGAGUUAAGAAAUAUAAAAUAACAACAGUUUGAGAUUUACUUAUUGGGCUCUCUUAUGGGUUUCUAAUAACAAUCUCAACUUUCCUUAUUAUUUUUCACAGGCGAUUGGGCUAAACAGAGAUUUGAACUAGAUUUGAUUCUAUAGAUACUGACCAAAUUAGAGCAGCGACAAAUAGCAAACUACAUAAGAUGCUAAGAUUAUAAGAAGGAACUAUUGACAUGCAAGUUACUGAAAAAUGAUGGAUGGGGAUAAUAAGAAAUAAUUUCUUAAAAAAAAAUGUAUCCUCAAAAUCAAAAUCUUCGAACACAAUUAAAAAUGUGAACACAAAAGCAAAGUGUUUUAGUCUGAAAACAGAAAAUUUGAGGCAUUAAGCUCAAAAGAUAAAAAGCUACAAGAGACAUGAGAUAAAGAAAGCUGGACUGAUUUACUCUUCAUCGUCCUCAUCAUCAUCAUCACCACCUGCUCCAUUCAAUGCCUUGACUCUCUCGAUCAACUUGUUCUUCCUCUCCUCGUACGUCAGUUUCUUCAAGUUGUACCUGUUUUAGUUUAUACAACAAUCAAUCAAAAACACCAAGUGAGAUAACAAUACACCAAUGAGCCAGUACUACAGAAGACUAAUAAAGUUGCUUUUGUUUCUUUACCUCUUGUGUUGCUUGGGGGCAGGUUUCUCGGUUUUCUUUGGGUUGGGGUCUGCGCGAAUAGCCGCGUGAACCUUCUUGUACAACUCUUCGAUGCUCUCAGCUUCAACUCCUUUCUUGAUGUAUGCACUGAAGUGAGUUUGUAGCUUCUCUGGCUCAUCUUCUCCCAACAGCUUCAUGUAGUUUGAAACAUGGCCACCAUAGAUGUAGUUCCUGUGGAUUUCAGCAUCAAGUUGUUUGUUCUCCUUGUUGAAUCCAGCAAAUCUCUUGUCACUGUGAGGGAUAUCAAGACCUCCAUCCAAAGCACCCUACAGUUUCAUGAAGCAAACCAAAACGGAAUUAAAGAAUUGCCAGUAUCAUCAUUUGCUCAAGAAGAAAAACAGAUAAAAACACUUCUAGCAUAUUAAAUAAGAAAACAAGUUAAGUACCUUGAGGGCACCAAACACACGGUUUCCUGUUGUGGUCCUGAUAAGUCCGACAUCAAGAAGAGCACGGAAAGGUCUCCUCGACUCAGUUGGCUCAAUGGAAAAGUCCUCUCCAGUG
RNAcentral lists this long non-coding RNA (6315 nucleotides) under Arabidopsis lyrata. RNAcentral's name for it is "long non-coding RNA (ALYR_LNC002434)". Lineage: Eukaryota; Viridiplantae; Streptophyta; Magnoliopsida; Brassicales; Brassicaceae. The record is from RNAcentral.